RNAcentral lists this long non-coding RNA (787 nucleotides) under Cyanistes caeruleus (blue tit). RNAcentral describes it as "lncRNA (ENSCCEG00000000677.1)". The record is from RNAcentral. Lineage: Eukaryota; Metazoa; Chordata; Aves; Passeriformes; Paridae.
CCCUGUAGGUCAAGAAGUGAAUCUAGCUCUUCUUCCAUGCUACUUCAAUCACUCUUCCAACAAUUUGGGAGUCUGACAUCUAUUUUUUAUUCAGAGUUUGAACAUUGUGCGGUAUGAAGGGAUGCUACUCUGUCCUCCCAAAAGCUGAACUGAGAAGCUUCAAACUGGAUGCUCAGAAAAUGAGAGUAUAAACCACUGAAAAUCAGUUUGAGGUUCUUAGUCAACAAAAAAUGAACAAGUAUGUAAAGCUCUGAAUUUCAAAGCUGUGCUACCCUCAAAUUUCUCUUCCUGAAUGAAUAUUCAGGGACUGCAGAGGGAAAGGAAGAUUUCAAAGAAUUUUGAAGAAUUCGAAACUUCACAGAAACUAUUCUGGAUCAUCUAUGCUGCAAGUUCAUUCACACCAAGAUUUCAGAGAGCUGCAAAAUACUUGUCUUUCUGGAGUUAUUGUCUGUCUAAUUCAUGUGAAGACCAGAUGUGUGGAUCCUGAUGUCUCUUACACUUGAAUCACCUGUAUUUGCAAUUGCAAGUGUCACAGAAACACCUUCUCCUGUUUGAAGCUUUCUCAUUUCAAGCUUUCUUGAUUUCCACACUCAAGACAGAGGAAUGCUGUACCAUCUGCAAGCCUUGGGCACUUUGCCAGCAAAACUGCUGUCUGAAAUAAUUUCCAGCUUCACAUUGAAUUUUUCAUGGAAAUAUGAGCUCCGCUUAGGUGCUUUCUAAUAUGCAGUAUUAAAAGACUAUAACCUAACGCUGGAACUUAAGCCAUGCACAUGAAACUAUUGUUCUG